Molecule: long non-coding RNA, 2449 nt
Filed under: Nicotiana benthamiana
Lineage: Eukaryota; Viridiplantae; Streptophyta; Magnoliopsida; Solanales; Solanaceae
Description: long non-coding RNA (NBEN_LNC028951)
Source: RNAcentral
GCUGAAAAAGAUAUACAGAUAUAGAAGAACAUGAAACUAGAGAAAAGUGAAAAAGAAGCUAGUCGACUUGAAAGAAUACAAAAUUGAAAGCAUGAAUAUAAUUGAGUUCUCAAUUCCUUAAUAUGCCUUUCUCUUACAUACAAACAUGACUCAUAUCCAAUUGGUGACCCCAAGUUCAAGAGAAAUACCUGAUAAAAUUAAAGAAAAAAGAAAGUGAGAAGACCAACAUCAGCAGAAGGUGAACUUCAGCAGAUCAAAAACAGCAAAAUUUAGCUUGUUUAAACCAUUUCGAUCCCAGAAAGAGUCGAAAAUUACUUCAAACUUUUGAAAACCCAAAAACUGACCUACAAUGCUCCAAUGAAACAGUGUUUUGUGCUGUGUUGUUUUGUAUUUUUCUUAUGAUAUUCAGACCUUUUCAGUGUUGAAUAUUUUCUUUCAACCGCCUCUUAUUUUGCAAGGUCUGAUCUAGGGGUGCUUAUCGGGCGGAUUGGACGGCUUUUUACUCUUAACGGUUUGGCUUAACGAUUAUCGGCUUUUAAAUGUAUUCAUAUGUUAGCCACCCGAUAAGAUAUCGGGCGGAUUGAUAUCGUAGUAGCUCUUAUCGGGCGGUUAUCGGGCGGUUUAUCGGUUUAAUACCUAUGGGGGUUAUUGAAAAGCUUAUACUUUUCUUACUGCUGUAAAUUGUUGCUGCAAUGUUAUACCGAAUAACAAUACUUGUACAAUACUAAAUGUCUAAAAAGCAUAAGACAUUUGCAAAUUGUACACAUUUUCUGUCCGCGCUACAUUGUCCAGUUCAAUUUCUACUUCUUCUCCUAUUUCAAUUACAUGAAAAACACAAAAGAAAUACAGUCUCAUACUUGCUGUAAUAGGAGGAACACAGCUCAUACAGGGACGCUCAACAAUCAACUUCAAGUCUUCAACAUGUUGAAAAGAAGAAGAAAAAUGGUUUAUCUUGCUGGUGCUAUUGGCUGCUUUUAUACUUAACUGAUAAGACAAAGAAAACAAAUGUGUAGUAGUAGUUUUCGUUUACAGUUCUGCUUUGCUAUAUCUAGAAUCUAGAUAUCCAUUUUUUGGCAAGCCAUACCAUAAUAGGCUUAGCUACAUUCACAUAGCAUCACCAAAUAAUGCUACUUAUAACUUUGUUUAAUUUUGUUAUUCAUUUUCAACUUUCAAUGGUUUAAUUUUUUAUAUUUAAUAUAUAUAAAUAAAAUAAAAUUUAUAUAUAUUUAUAUUCUUAACGGGUUACCCGUUAAGAAAAUUAAAUCAUCCGUCCCCAAUCCGAUAAGCCGAUAAUAAAAAAAUUAAUCAGUUCCCCGUCUGUUAAUCCGUUAAACCGUUACCAGUAAGUUAUUAAGCUUCGGUUUCGGAUUGGUUUUCGGUUUCAGAUCGGUUUUGAACACCCCUAGUCUGAUACCCCUGAAAAUUUCAGUUUAAUGAAGAUUUUGUAGAGGGGGGUUAGGGCAGCGGUAAAGAGUUCAAACUUUGCUUGUUAAUCCUUUUUUAUUUUUUAUUUUUACUAUUAUGCCCCUAAUGUAAAACUCAAAACUUUCAUUUUACUCUCCAUUCCCCCUUCCUAGAAGCUUCUCAAAUCAGUUACUAGAGAUUUCCUUACCCAAAUCCCUAAAUUAACCUUCAAAACUUCUGUAUUUUACUUUCAGAGUGCCAACUUAGGUCAAGUUAACCUAAGACCCCAAAUAAAUAGAUUUCUUAACUGGGUCAGCGAGGACCACAGUUAAUACAAAAAACCAAACUAUCAUAAAUGAUCGAACCAAAGAGCGAACAGAUUCUGAAAAAGAAAAUAACAAUAAUUCAAAACUUUACGAUUAAACCUAACCUAACUACUAAACUAAAAUGAAAUCCACCAUUAAAAAGACAAGACAAAAUAAUGAAACAAAAACAAAAAAGAAGACCAAAAAAAUGCUAUAAUGAAGAGGAUCAUGAGAAAACAAAAAUAAAGAGGGGAAAGUACACUAGACCACUUGAGAUGACUCGAUAAGCGAUGAAAGGAGUCACUGAUUGGCUGGAAUGCGAUGAGUUCGCAAAAAUUCGGUGUUCUCGGAAUGAACUAAAACCAAUGUAAAUUGAUUUCUCUUGUUAAGAGAAAUCGACUAAUGUAUAUUAUAGGCCAAAGCGAGCCGGAAUUCUGCGCGAAUUUAGAAAAACAGAACAAUCUAGGGUUUGAACUUCUUAGAUUUGGAAUUGGGGGAGUUCUGUUGGGUUUUGUUUUUGGGAAAUAGGGGUAGGGAUAGUAUUUAGGAGGGCCUGGGGGUUGCAUGGUAUAAAUUUGGGGUGGUUUGGAGCCCGCCGCCGGCGGAGAUGGUGGAGAGAAUUGGAGGGGCAGCGCUAGGGUUAGAGGUUAGAAUCUCUGAAGGUAGGGUGAGAGAGAUAAGACAAAGGGGGGUGAAGGGUUCAGACAUAUUUAUAUUAAACAAACCCCGGUAUUGGACCG